GACGAACGCUGGCGGCGUGCUUAACACAUGCAAGUCGAGCGGUAAGGCCUCUUCGGGGGUACACGAGCGGCGAACGGGUGAGUAACACGUGGGUGACCUGCCCUCAGCUCUGGGUUAAGCCUGGGAAACUGGGUCUAAUACCGGAUAUGACCUUUCCUCGCAUGGGGUUUGGUGGAAAGUUUUUUCGGCUGGGGAUGGGCCCGCGGCCUAUCAGCUUGUUGGUGGGGUGAUGGCCUACCAAGGCGACGACGGGUAGCCGGCCUGAGAGGGCGACCGGCCACACUGGGACUGAGACACGGCCCAGACUCCUACGGGAGGCAGCAGUGGGGAAUAUUGCGCAAUGGGCGGAAGCCUGACGCAGCGACGCCGCGUGGGGGAUGACGGCCUUCGGGUUGUAAACCUCUUUCGACCCCGACGAAUUUGGACGGUAGGGGUAGAAGAAGCACCGGCCAACUACGUG
RNAcentral lists this ribosomal RNA (460 nucleotides) under uncultured bacterium. Its description in RNAcentral is "partial 16S ribosomal RNA". It matches the Rfam family "Bacterial small subunit ribosomal RNA", at positions 28 to 507 of the family's 1533-position model. The record is from RNAcentral.